Molecule: ribosomal RNA, 372 nt
Filed under: uncultured Glomeromycotina
Lineage: Eukaryota; Fungi; Glomeromycota
Description: eukaryotic LSU rRNA
Source: RNAcentral
UGAAAGGGAAACGAUUGAAGUCAGUCGUACUUGCGGGUAAUCAGCCUUUUGGGUGUGAUUCUGUGGAGCGUGGGGAGUUAAACGCCUUCAUGCCUGCGUAUUCGCGUACUUUGGGUGUACUUGCCCGUGUGGUAGGUUAACAUCAAUUUUGAUCAUCAUAAAAUGGCUGGAGGAAUGUAGCUUCGAUCUCGUAUUGAAGUGUUAUAGCCUUCGGCAGAUGUGAUGAUCGGGAUUGAGGAUUGCAACGGAUACCCUUCGGGGCUACCUGCCUGAUCUCUGAUUGUUGCUCUGGUGCCGAAAGCGUGCUUACGGUUAUCAAAGUCGAUGGUCAACAGGUUAGAACGGGUUAAAUUCGUUAAGGAUGUUGACGUA